RNA transcript from Andrographis paniculata, 1816 nucleotides. It is a transcript of the gene named transcription factor HEC3-like, with no coding region annotated. The transcript is spliced from 2 exons. Lineage: Eukaryota; Viridiplantae; Streptophyta; Magnoliopsida; Lamiales; Acanthaceae. The record is from RefSeq and is a predicted model, not a curated record.
AUGCAAAGAAAAAGCUGUAAUGGGAAAAGAAACAAACCCUAGAAAGGGUUGUAAUAAUCUGAAUAAAGAAACCUCAAAAGACCUUUACUUUCAUCAUUUCACAAUGUACCAAAAAGGAAACCAUUUGCCCAACCCAGCCCGGCCCGGACCGGCCCGGGCCGAUCCCCCAAUCCCCAUUAAUGCCAUUAAUCAAUUCCCCUCACGCCUUUAAUUCAUUGCCUGCAAUUCCCCCUCUCUCUCUAUAUACCUUUUCUCCCUCUCCUCUCACUACUAUUCAAUUCCCCAAAUCUUCCCUGUCUCUCUCUCUCUCUCCUCUUUUGCUUGAUUUAAGUUAAAUCUUUGCAGCUUCACACCACCCCCAAAUUGAAAUCAAACCCUAUUUUUCAAAAUCAUCAUCAUCAACAUAUAUAAAUAUAUUAUUGUUGUUUCGUUGUGAUCUGCUUGAAUAAACAUGGAUCACAUCUCCCACGAAAGUUUCACGAAUCAUCCUUACCCAAUGGGUUUAAUGGAAGAUCAUCAUCAUCAUCAUCACUACAAUCAGGGCCCUUACGAUCACCACCACCACCAAUGGCUCCAUCACUACAAUUCCGGCGACCCAUCCAGCCUGAUCCCGCUAGAAGAAGACCCUAACUCCAAAGAAGCGGCGGCGGAGGCGGCGGAGGCAAACGAGCUUCUGCAAGAAGUUGCAGCAGACGACCACGAAGAAGAGGAGCUCGGCGCCAUGAAAGAGAUGAUGUUCAAAAUCGCCGCAAUGCAGCCCGUCGACAUCGAUCCCGCCACCAUCCGGAAGCCCCGCCGCCGCAACGUCCGGAUCAGCGACGACCCCCAAAGCGUCGCCGCCCGCCACCGCCGCGAGAGGAUCAGCGAGAAGAUCAGAAUCCUUCAGCGCCUCGUCCCCGGCGGGACAAAGAUGGACACAGCUUCCAUGCUCGAUGAGGCAAUUCGUUAUGUUAAGUUCCUCAAGCGACAAAUCCGAAUCCUCCAGGCCAACGGCGGCGGCGGCGCCGCCCACCCGCCCUGCGUAGCUGUCGCCGCCGCUGCUGCAGCUCCGUCGGAGGAUUGGGCUGUCGCGACGCCGUCGUCGUCGCCGUACUUGUUUGGAGGAGGCAAUAAUGCAGGUGAUGAACAUUCGAUAUGUUUCAGUGAUCAUAAGUUUAAUUAUUUGUGACUCAUAAUUAAUUAAUUGCAUAAAUUAUAAGGGUUUUUGUGUAUUGAACUAAUUUCGACAUAUAUAAAAUAUAUAUAUAUAUAUAUAUUAUAUCAUGUGAUGAUAAGAAGAAAAAGGUUUGUUAGGAUUUUGUUGACUAAGGGGAGCAUUGGAAUAAUCACAAAACGGUUAGCCAUCCAGACUAAAAUUUACUAUUAAUUUAAUUAAUUAAAUUAUUCUGUGUGUCCGUGUGUAUAUAUACAUAUAGAUAUAUGUGAAUAAUACGCACAACAUUUGGUCGUCCUCAGAAAGUUCCCUCGGCCUAAUUCCCAUUCUUUCCCUGGAAUAAAACAGUGAUAUUUAGAGACAUUAAAUUUAAGGGGCAGUUCAAGACCAUAUCAGCUGCUCUGAGAAAGUUCCUUUCAAGAAGGAGGCUUCAAGACUCAUUUGGUUAGAUUUAUAUAUAUAUACAUAUAUAUAUAUAUAUAUAGAGAGAGAGAGAGAGAGAGAGAGACCUAACUGUAGACAAAUUCUUAUUGUUAUGUUGAGCUAAUUAACUUGUGUAAGAAUAUGAUUAUUACUGAGCUAGGCCCCAAAUUAUGGCUAUAUAUAUUAUUUACUGCUAAUCAAUAAGUUGUCUGACAUAUAAACAUUUUUCGAUUGAAAAUC